AGAACGAACGCUGGCGGCAUGCCUAACACAUGCAAGUCGAACGCUCACCGGGCUUCGGUUCGGUGGGAGUGGCGCACGGGUGAGUAGCGCGUGGGAACCUGCCCUGUUGUGGGGGAUAACCGAGGGAAACUUCGGCUAAUACCGCAUGCGCCCGGGGAAACCCGGGGAAAGAUUUAUCGCAGCAGGAGGGGCCCGCGUCGGAUUAGGUAGUUGGUAGGGUAACGGCCUACCAAGCCUUUGAUCCGUAGCUGGUCUGAGAGGAUGAUCAGCCACACUGGGACUGAGACACGGCCCAGACUCCUACGGGAGGCAGCAGUGGGGAAUAUUGGACAAUGGGCGCAAGCCUGAUCCAGCAAUGCCGCGUGAGUGAUGAAGGCCCUAGGGUUGUAAAGCUCUUUUGUGCGGGAAGAUAAUGACGGUACCGCAAGAAUAAGCCCCGGCUAACUUCGUGCCAGCAGCCGC
Molecule: ribosomal RNA, 462 nt
Filed under: uncultured bacterium
Lineage: Bacteria
Description: SSU rRNA
Rfam family: Bacterial small subunit ribosomal RNA
Source: RNAcentral